GUGGGGAAUAUUGGACAAUGGGCGCAAGCCUGAUCCAGCCAUGCCGCGUGAGUGAUGAAGGCCCUAGGGUUGUAAAGCUCUUUCACCGGUGAAGAUAAUGACGGUAACCGGAGAAGAAGCCCCGGCUAACUUCGUGCCAGCAGCCGCGGUAAUACGAAGGGGGCUAGCGUUGUUCGGAAUUACUGGGCGUAAAGCGCACGUAGGCGGGUAUUUAAGUCAGGGGUGAAAUCCCAGAGCUCAACUCUGGAACUGCCUUUGAUACUGGGUACCUAGAGUAUGGAAGAGGUAAGUGGAAUUCCGAGUGUAGAGGUGAAAUUCGUAGAUAUUCGGAGGAACACCAGUGGCGAAGGCGGCUUACUGGUCCAUUACUGACGCUGAGGUGCGAAAGCGUGGGGAGCAAACAGGAUUAGAAACCCUAGUAGUCC
This 425-nucleotide ribosomal RNA is filed under the name uncultured bacterium. Its description in RNAcentral is "partial 16S ribosomal RNA". It matches the Rfam family "Bacterial small subunit ribosomal RNA", at positions 354 to 796 of the family's 1533-position model. The record is from RNAcentral.